ACAUAUACUGUCCUGAUAGUUUUAUUUUUUCCUUUCAGGUUAAUCACUAGACAACUUGGUCUUUACAACUUCUGUACAACUCAGUUUUUAGCACAGGUUAACUCACAGACUGAUGUCCGAGGAUACUUAAGUUUUGUUUUAAGAAGCAAUGCUGGGGGCCAGUGCUGUGGUGUAGCAGGUGAAGUUACCGCCUGCAGUGCUAGCAUCCCUUAUGGGCACCAGUUCAAGUCCAGGCUACUCCACUUCCCAUCCAACUCUCUGCUAUGGCCUGAGAAAACAGUAGAAGAGGGCCCAAAUCCUUGGGCCCCUGCACCCAUGUGGGAGAUUCAGAAGAGGCUCCUAGCUCCUGUUUUUGGAUAGGCUUAACUCCAGCCGUUGUGGCCGUCUGGGGAGUGAACCAGUGGAUACAAAACAUUCUGUCUCUCAUAUGCCUCUGCCACUCUGUAACUCUUUCAAAUAAAUAAAAUAAAUAAAUCUUUAAAAAAAGCA
Molecule: long non-coding RNA, 489 nt
Filed under: Oryctolagus cuniculus (rabbit)
Lineage: Eukaryota; Metazoa; Chordata; Mammalia; Lagomorpha; Leporidae
Description: lncRNA (ENSOCUG00000030852.1)
Source: RNAcentral